RNAcentral lists this ribosomal RNA (200 nucleotides) under uncultured bacterium. RNAcentral describes it as "partial 16S ribosomal RNA". It matches the Rfam family "Bacterial small subunit ribosomal RNA", at positions 29 to 256 of the family's 1533-position model. The record is from RNAcentral.
AAUGAACGCUGGCGGCAUGCCUAACACAUGCAAGUCGAACGAAGGCUUCGGCCUUAGUGGCGCACGGGUGCGUAACGCGUGGGAAUCUGCCCCUGGGUUCGGAAUAACAGCUAGAAAUGGCUGCUAAUACCGGAUGAUGACGUAAGUCCAAAGAUUUAUCGCCCAGGGAUGAGCCCGCGUAGGAUUAGCUAGUUGGUGGG